ACAGUUCCCGACAGACCACGACAAGGAUGACAGCGAGCAAAUGGAUGUAGCCGCAAGGCACCAGGGACCAUGGUGGUGGAGCUGGGAUUUCCAACGCCUUGGUCCCAGACUGGAGGACUCAGGUGGAGGAGUGAGGCCAAGAGAAGGGCCCUGUGACACAGAGGAAGUGGGCUGUGCGGGUGAGCGAGAGCAGAGAGCAGGGGAUCUGUUGUCAUGGGGAAGGAAGGUGCAAAGGGGGAUGGAGACAGCAUGGAAGGAGAGUUCUUGAAGACAUGGACGCUAAGGAGGGACAAGGUGGGAGGAGGGUGGGACUGGCAGGAGCACCCAGGAGGAGCGGAGGAGCCAGGUCUCAGGCAGGGCAGGAGAGGUAGGCUGAGACUGGGUGCAUUUGUGUCGAUGUGGGGAGGGGGGUGGGGGGAGAGAAGAGUGAGUGCUGAUGACAAAACUGCGGUGGUGACAGGAAGAAGUAGAAGAUUCAGAGGCGCAUGCUCCCCAGAGUAUAAUGAAAGGACAUGAAAGGAAUCAGGAAAAUUUAGGGGAGUCAGGGUUGUUGGGCCCUGGAAAGGACCCAUAGCCUGGGCCACUGGGAUGUGAGCGUGGAGAGCAGAGUGUGUGGAUUUGGUACAGUACGUGUGACGCAGAGAUGUCUGCAUCUGCUGGAGCAGUGGGUGUGGGGCCAGGUCAAGGAGGGAGGACACAUCUGAGAACAUGACUCAGGCAGUGGAGAAUCACAGAUGGUGCUGGGAGAAGGCAGGAUGGUGCAGGUGGGACAGUACCUCCCUAUGCAGUUCAGGAAGAAAGCAGGAGGAACGAGCAGCCUGGGCCCAGGAGCUGGGAGAGCAGAGGGUGAGUUGACAGUAUGUUGGAGAGCAGAAUAGAGGAGAAGUGUUCCCCAAUGGGCAGGAAGAAUGAAUUGGAGCAGGUUAUGGAGCCCAGCACCUUAGAGAGGUGAGCUUGUUGAGAGGAUCAGGGAAUGUGCUGCAGCAGCAGGGGCACGCCAAGGAGCAAGAGUGGGUGUGAAUGCAGAGAGUCCUCUUUUUUGCCCAAAAGGGGCAAAGUGUUUGAUGCAGGUCAUGGAGAAAGCAUGGUAUGGGUAAGACAAGGGAGGAGUGAAGAAGAGGUGAGAUGAGGCCACAGGAGCAGGGUGCAGAGGUCUUGGCACCUUGGGAACAUUGAGGGCAGUGUGUCAGUUAAGGGCAUGGUGAGAUGAUGAAAGGCCAGGGGACACAACAGAGAGACGAAACCACUGUUCCUUAGAGGCAGGACUGAGAAUGUAGUGACCACUGAGAAUACGGGAUGAUUAGGGGUGAACUGAGACAGCAGACAGACUCAGUACAGCAGGCUGAGGACACGGACGCUGGCAGUGGUGGCACUGGUUGGGGGCAUGGCAGGAAGGGGUCAGAGCUCAAGAAAUAUUCCUGAGUCUGUGGAUUGACUUGGAGGCGGCAGGGCACCGGCACUGGAUGUUGAAGAUGAGGUGGAGUGCGUUUGGGAGAUGACCGUGGAGGAAACCGUGGAUGGGUGGUGUAGGAUUUACAUGUGAACCUUGUGUGGAAAAAGUGAGAUAUUGAAGUGGGGCAGCCUUGCAGAGGUGGUGUGAUACAAGUGGGGUCCUGGAAGCUCAUGGGAAAAGAAAGAUUUGUGGUGCAUGAGGGGAAAGAAGAUCAUGAGCCCGUGGGGAGCUUACUGCCCAUACAGGGUCAGAUGCAGAAAAGGGGAAGGAGGAAAUCAGAGUUCCCCAGAUGGGGCUUUAUCAGAUCUCAGGGAAGUUGGUGCCAUGCCUCUUACCAAGGCCAGCCCAUAGGACUAGGGCAGGGUGGAAAAAUCCCAGGCUUUUCAGAAGUGGAUCCUUAGGAGAAAGUAGGGAAAAAGCGCCUAAGUCGCUCAGGGUAAAUGGAGGAAACGGGGCAUCACUGCACAUUCAGGCAGCACGUGCAUGACAGGUAACCUUGGGGCUUGGGAUGGUCUCAUAUGUUUUGAGUCCAUUAUGUUGGCAGAAAGAUGCUUGCAAGUGUUAGAAAGAACUAAUGGAGAGGAGACAAUUCCCAGUGACCACUGCGUCUGAGCUUUUGUUGUCAAGGGAGCCUGAGAGGAUGGAGGAGGUGUAGCUUGCAACUGAAAAUACGCACUACACCACACUUCACCACAGAGGCGCAUGAAGUAGAAGAAGGGGCCUUCAAACAUAGGUAGCAUCUUAGAUUUAGUGGGAGAUUAGGUCAGUAGUAAAUGGGCACAUCGGAAGGCAGUAUGCCCAGAGGUUGGAGAGGAUGAAGGUUUGGGUGCUGACACAGGUGCUUCAUUUUUGGAGACUUUUUCAGAAGGCAGAGAGGAAGAAAGGAAGGACAGGAUGAAUGGCAGGACCUGUGUAAAAAGAAGGUCUUAAAUUCUAAACAAGGGUGUAGUAAAGGCAGUGUGGCCAAGAGGGAAAGAAGAAAUGGUGGAUCCAGAUGGCUUCAAUGGGUAGUGCAAGAUCAGGAUGACGGGCAGGGGUGCAUCAGCUCAUGGGGGCCCUAUCAGAGGUAAAUGGAAAUAAUGGAGGUGAGGAAAGGAGGAAGUGGCAGGAUUGGCUGGAGAGUUUUGUAGGAACUCACUUCAUGGAAGAGAAAGAGAAAAGAGGAAACAAGGCUAAAGUGGAAGAGGGGAAGGAAAAGGCAGCUUAAGGAAGGCAUUGGCCUUGCCUUAGGAAGUGGAUGAGUGAAGAUCUGGAGGAACAACAGAAAACAGUGUUGAAGAGAAGCUGGGAUAGGGAGAGGAUGGAAAAGUUUGAGUGGUGAGAGCAGGUCAAAGCAGUUGAGCGCAUCCCUAGAGAAGAGAUGACCGAGUCGGAUGAAGCAACAGGACCUGGGUGGUUGAGAGAAAUAUAGACCACAGACAGGCAGGUGCCUUCCCUUGGCCAAGGAAGCAAAGAGACGAAAUGUGUCACAAGGGGAAAGCCUGCAAAAAAGAAUGUGGAAGUGGGACGAUGAGGCAGCGCAACUGGGGAGUCACCUACAGAAGACAGACAGGGUGGAGGGUCCCCCAGGGAAGGAUGGAGGGCAGAGAGUGUGGUGGAAGGGAGCCGGGCAGGACAGCCACGGGCAGGACAGCUACAGGCAGGACAGCCACGGGUGGAGCCAGGUGAAGGGGGAGGUCCCAGAGUAGGAACAAAGGAACCUAGAGUGCUCAGGGCACGCCGCAAGGUUUGGCAUGGGGAAGGGGAGGCAUAAAAGGGGUGGACAGCAAUGGGCAGGAAGGAACGGCUGCUCUUAAAGCCUUGAACUUUAUUGCAAAGGUGCAAAUCUUGGGCCAGGCUAUUUACUAUGGAUCUGGUGGGGAAGGGUUGUUUGGUGGGGAUGGAGUAUGGGGUAGUGUCUGGGUUGGGGUUGACUGGGUUGGAAAGGAGGGAAGGACUGGGAGCAGUGGGGUAUGAGUGGGAGAGGAAGUUGGGAACCAGAUGGGGAGAACCAAGUCAAAUUCUGGGUUGGAAAAAAACCUUAUUUAACUGAGCUAGUGGGUUACAUGUCUAAUGCUGACGGUGAUGAAUACAGGCUGGGGAAGACUUCUGAAUCCACCAAAAGAAGUAAAUGAUAGUGGUUUCUUGUAGGUCAAAAGGUCAAGGUAAAUGGUUGGUUUUUAGGACACAACUGUGAACUUGGGAAGCAAAGGGGGAAGUUUCUGCAGGACUGUCUUGUCAGGGAUCUGAAAAAAGGAGGCGGGAUUAAGGAAAACUGACAAUAGUAAGCACCCAUAAUAAACAGGUUGAGACCGAAGAUAUUGACACAGUGCCUGAGAGUCCUAUCAGGUGGGAGGACAAGAAGUAUGGGGUGGGGAACAAGUCUCCAAUGCACACUGGUGUUUGGGGUCAGAGGUGUGUUAAAGGGCAAAUAGGGAAGGAAUGAAGUGGUUCCAAGUAGAGACUGCCAGGCCUAAUGGGGGUGGGGAGGCAAAAGAGAUGUUUGAGUGGGAAGUUUCAUGGCAGGAAUUAGAAUGGUCUGGGUGUGAAACGAGGGAGUGAGGCCUAGGCAGUCAAGGUGGCCGUCCACAGCAGUGAUUCUUAUCUGGGGUGGGGGGUGGUUUUCACCUGGAGGGAGGGCUGGGGGUAUGGACCCCCAGGCAGGCCUAUCCAAUCAUCUGAGGGGUGUUGAGCUCAGAAAAAGUAAGGGGGAAAAGCAGUCUCUAAAAGGAACACAGACAAUAGCAAAGGAAGGAACUGAGCCCAAAAGAUGAUUCUGAUAGGCUGCCUUGGGGUCCUGCAUCCUCAGGUGAGAAUCACUGGUGGACAUGGGAGGAGGGAGGGCUGGGCAGAGAUGUGAAGUAUGAGGGGAAGAGGCACAUGUGGCAGGGCUGAGGGAGGCAUCAGGUUCAAGACUGUCAGGUAUGGGAACACAGUUCCCAACAGACCACAAGGAUGACAGCAAGCAAAUGGAUGUAGCCGCAAGGCACCAGGGACCAUGGUGGUGGAGCUGGGAUUUCCAACGCCUUGGUCCCAGACUGGAGGACUCAGGUGGAGGAGUGAGGCCAAGAGAAGGGCCCUGUGACACAGAGGAAGUAGGCUGUGCGGGUGAGAGCAGAGAGCAGGGGAUCUGUUGUCACGGGGAAGGAAGGCGCAAAGGGGGAUGGAGACAGCGUGGAAGGAGAGUGUCUUGAAGACAUGGGCACUAAGGAGGGACAAGGCGGGAGGAGGGUGGGACUGGCAGGAGCACCCAGGAGGAGUGGAGAGUUGGGUCUCAGGCAGGGCAGGAGAGGCAGGCUGAGACUGGGUGCAUUUCUAUGGGGAGGAUGAGGGUGGGCAGGUGGAGAGGAGAUAGGAGUGAGUGCUGAUGACAAAACUGCUGCGGUGACAGGAAGAAGGUAGGAGAUUCAGAGGUGCAUGCUCCCCAGAGCGUUUUCACACAGUGUGAACAAAAGGACGUGAAAGGAAUCAGGAAAGUUUAGGGGAGUCAGGAUUGUGGGGCCCUGGAAAGAACACAUAGCCUGGGCCACUGGGACAUGGGCACAGAUAGCUGGGCAGAGCUUGUGGAUUCGGUAUGGUACGAGUGACGCAGAGAUGUCUGCAUCUGCUGGAGCAGUGGGUGCGGGGCCAGGUCAAGAAGGGAGGACGCACCUGAGAACAUGACUCAGGCAGUGAGAGAAUCACAGAUGGUGCUGGGAGAAGGCAGGAUGGUGCAGGUGGGACAGUACCGUGCUGUGCAGCAGAGGAGGAAAGCAGGAGGAACGAGCAGCCUGGGCCCAGGAGCUGGGAGAGCAGAGGGUGAGUUGACAGUAUGUUGGAGAGCAGAAUAGAGGAGAAGUGUUCCCCAACGGGCAGGAAGAAUGAAUUGGAGCAGGUUAUGGAGCCCAGCACCUUUGAGAGGUGAGCUUGUUGAGAGGAUCAGGGAAUGUGCUGCAGCAGCAGGGGCACGCCAAGGAGCAAGAGUGGGUGUGAAUGCAGAGAGUCCUCUUUUUUGCCCAAAAGGGGCAAAGUGUUUGAUGCAGGUCAUGGAGAAAGCAUGGUGUGGGUAAGACAAGGGAGGAAUGAAGGAGAGGUUAGAGGAGGCCACAGGAGCAAGGGGUAGAUGUGUUGGCACCUUGGAAACAUUGAGGACAGUGUGUCAGUAAAGGGCAUGGCAAGAUGAUGAAAGGCCAGGGGACACAACAGAGGGAGGAAACCACUGUUCCUUAGAGGCAGAACUGAGAAUACAGGAUGGCUAGGAGUGAAGUGAUACAGCAGAUGGAUCAGUACAGCAGGUCGAGGACGUGGAUGCUGACAGUAAUGGCAUCGGUGAGGGCAGGGAAGGAAGGGGUCAGAGCUCCAGAAAGAUUAUUGAGUCUGUGGACUGACUUGGAGGUGGCAGGGCACAUAGGACUGGAUGUUGAAGAUGAAAAGGAGUGUCUAGAAGAUGACCAUGGGAGGCAACACUGUGUGUAGACUGCAAAGUUUCCAUCCGCAUGUAGUGAGAGAGAAGCUGAAGUCCGGCAGCCAUUGGAAGGCAGUUUUUGGAAUGCAAAUUGGAUGAUGGAAGUUUAUGGCAAAAGAAAGGACAGGAGGCAGGUAAGAGGGGAGAUAACUUUAUGAAUUUGUGCAGGGCUAAGCAUCGGUAAAAAGGGCUGACAUGAAAUAGGGGAAGGUGGAAUGCAGAGUUCCCAAACUGGGGGCGCUGGCAAAUCUCAGGGGCACGUCAGUCGUAUGUUCGGGGUAACAACAUUUAACCUCUCGUAGUAACUACUUCAUUGAGUGGGAAAACAGAAAAAGAAAAAACUUUGUGGAGGGUGAUGGUAAAGCAACCCCAACCGAUAUGGAAGGCAGUGUUAGCCAACUGAUAUGGAGGGCAGUGUUGGUAAUCACUGGAAGUCAAGAUUUUGAAAGCAAAAGAUUAACAAUGUAAAAUUUGCAAGUGUGGGGGUUACACAUAGGUUAUUAUGUGUUUAAUGUGAUCUCCAGCAAAAUUAGCAGAGGCCAAAAUAAAACGAAGUAUUAGUCUAUUUAACAAGAUUGGAAUUAAGGGGACAGUAUACAGGUUAUAUCAAUUUGGGAAUUAUUUAGGAAUGUUAAGAGUUGGUAAGGUGGGUAUUGUUGUCCCUUGAUCCAAAGUAUAGAAUAAUGGCAAAGAAGAAAAGUAUAAUAGAAAGUCCUUGUCAUUAGGGAAUUUGGUGGCUGCCUUAAAACUCCUUCAGGGAAACACUUCAUGAAUGCUUAGAGUCAGGAGAAUAAACGGUCCCAUAUAGAGAUAGAUUUAUGAAGCCAAGUCUGAAGGAAGAGCUUCAUUAGCAAUCCCCAGAAUGUCAGUUCUACUAGCCAAGGAUGCAGGUGAGUAUGUUGGAUACCAAGAGAACAGAAAGGAAGUGUUCUGAACACUGGAGGUGGGUCAAGGAGGAAGCUUAUACAUAUUCACAUGUGAAUCGAUUUCAAGGAUGGAUGAACAAAGACUGGGUGGUACUAAUAUGGCAGGUUUUUUUUUCCCCUGAGGCAAAAGGCAGAAAUGAGUGGGUAUACCAUGAUUAAAUUGCAUACUGUAGAGAUGGGAUUAUUUAAGUAAAGUCAGCAAUAAAAAUUAUAGAUACUGAGGACGAUGGGGUAGAAAAGAGAUAUCAAAUAGGUAGGAAGAUGGCUUGAAAGGGAAUAGGAGAAAUUUCAGUGAGUCUGAGGAAUGGUAGACUGGGAAUAAGACAAGUAAGUGGGUGAAUAAGGAGGUCUCAGACUGAGAAUCCUGGCAUAUCUACCAAUGGGUCAGAUUGUAGGAAUACUGAUUUUAAAGUCAGGCUGAGGCCAAUUCUAGUGAUAAAGGAAGGGGGAAGGGUGGCUGAAUCGUAAUGUUCAAUCCCCCUUUUUUAGUAUUUGAGUUAAAAUUCAGAUUAAAUGCUUGGCUUAGAAGAAUGCAAAGUUUCCUCAUUAAUAUGGAUCCCAGUGAGUGAGUGGAGGUGAGUUAAAGAACUCUGAGGCAAAUCUUACUUAAGUGAAGUUGUGUUUUUAGUAUAGAAUGCUGAGUUAAUAUGGUUAAUACUGAACAAAAAAUAAUGGAAGGGAGACUACAGAUUCAGAGAAGAGCUAUGAGUCUAUCAGAUUGUAUGGUAGCUUACGAUGGCACUUUAAGGAAGUGUAGGCAGAAAGUCAAGAAAUUGAAAUAAUUAUGAAUAAGUCUAUGGCAGGUACUAUUUCUAAUGGAAAUCAGAAAAUAAACUCACAUACAUGUACUAUUACAGCUGAUCUUAGUAUGAAUAUUUUCUAUUAAAGAUUGUUUUAAAAUAAGUUGUUUACAUUUGUCGAAAUGGUUCCAGAUGAUGAGAAAUAUGAUGCAAUAAAACCUGAUAAAUAAAAGCAAUACAAAGAUUAGAAGGGUUCCAAAUAGGUAGUGGAAUAAAAAGUUAAAUUGGUAGUGGCAUUAAACAGGUCCAACAUGUGGAACAAUCGGUAGAAUGUUGUGUAUAUAACACAUAUUGUUACUGGUGCAAUAAAUAUUCAGGAGAAACAAAGCUGCUGACAGACAAUGAAUGCUUGGAAGGAAUCUUGCCUUAAAGGCUUUUCUAAAACUUUUUGGGUAAAGGACAAAUUCUUGAAGGAUGAAAGAUAAUAAGUAGGACUAAUUACAGAGAGACUCAUGAUGCCCAUAGUCUUUCAAGAAAUUGCUUUUAAGAGAAGGUGUUAUGGUAAUAUAUUGAUGUUGGGUUAACGCAAAUUUUUCAGAUAGGGUAGAUUUUUAUAUAUUUAUAGAGUAAAGGGGAGGAGGAAAGAUUAAACGUAGAUUGAAGAAAGGAAUAAUUGAUGGAAAAACUUUCUGGAAGAGAUUAAGGAUAUGUGUUUUUUGAACUCUUGGGAAGACUUGAUUCUAGAGAGGAUAAAGGGAAAAAGUGGAUAGUUCUAGAAUUAAACACCAAAAGGUUCUAUGUGUCUGGAACCAUGUAAAGCAAAUUACCUAUUAUUUCAUUUCAUUUCAUUUCAUCUUAUAAAAAUCCUAAGAGAUCAAAUAAUUUGUCCAAGAUUACACAGUCAGUAUAUAGCAGGGUCAGAAUUCAAAUCCUCUUCUAUCAAACCUAUAUUCCUUUCUAUUAUGAUAUGCUCCUUUCAAGUUGAAGGAAAUCAAAAAUCAAGAAUUUGCUUUGUCAUUGUGAUUAUAAGGGAAAAUAUUAUUUUUCUGAAAUGAGACACACUGAUGUUUAAGACCUUAAGGUGAUAAGUAAAAUUUGGAAUAUCUGUGAUGGGAAAAUGCAAAAAAGGAGGGAAUGGAUAAAAGAUAUCUAUUACCAUCUAUGGCCUGGUAUUUCACUUCUUUCAUUGUAUAACAUGAUUUUAGAUUGGUCAUGGAUGAAAAAUUUGAGAAUUCUGACAAAAACUAAAUAGAAAGGAGUUUUUAAGCAGGUAUAUGAUGGGUCAAAUAUAACUUACUACUAACAAAACAAACAAUUCCCUAUAUGCCAAACUUGUAUAAACAAAAAUCAAACAAACUAUCAAGCAAAAGAGUCCAUAGCCAGCAGACCAAAUGUUGAAAUAUCUGGGCUAAUUUGUAAGAUCUAUGUUUUAAAACUCCUUAGUGAAGAGGGGCGAGAAAACCUCUCUCCUCUUUUUCCUCUCUUGGUGGAAAUGUUUUCUUGUUGUUGGUUUUUUCCUAUACUAUAUAUGUAAUUUCUAUAUUGUUUUGUGUAUUUUGGUAUUAUAAAAUUGUACUUCUUAGAUUCUGUUAAUAAUGCUUACUGGGGUGUGAGGCACCUGCAUUAUCAGUAAAUUGAACCUGGAGAAGUGGGAGGAGCUAGUAUUCUCAAUUGGCAAGGGAUUGAUUCUUCGAUGGGUUCAGCAUUUCACUUUCCUCUGAAAUUAAGUGGGAAAGUAAUAGCAUCCCUUAAAAAGCAGAACAUUGGUGAGAGGUAGAAUAGCAGGAGGAAUUUUGAAACAUGGAGAGAUGGCUACUGGAAAAAAACCAAUGAAGUGCAGAGUCUCCCAAGAUGAUGGUAGAAGCCACAGGACUACAUUAAGAUUGGGCCCAAAUACUAGUUUAGAAGAGGGUAAAUAAAACUAGCUUUACUUAAGAGUACAGCCAGCUUAAUUACUGGCUAGUGGACAUAUUUCAGACAAAUCUAACUGAAGAGAAAAACAGACCAGGAGAGAAAGCCAAGUUAUAAGGAAAUAGAGAAACCUCACAAAGGGAUAAAGGAGGUAAUUAAAGGUUAAAGCCAGAUAGCCUAGAGCUCAAAGGAGAAAUCCUGGAGGCCAGAUAGGAAAGUGCCUUCCUACUCAGGGGGUUAGGGAUCCAGGGUGGCUGGAGAAUAGAAGUAGAGUUCUGCCCAGGGCCAGAGGGAAAAACCUGGGAUUCAGACACAGCAGUGGUGCCAACUUGAAUCUACCUCGUGCUAGAGUCUGAGUAGCCUGGUCUAUCACCCAACACAGAUAACACUGGACAGGGGCUCCCAGGAAGCAACAUCUAAGAAGGGAGUUUGGAGAGGGGCUAAAAGAAAGCAGGUUAAGCCCCAAAUGUAACGGAAUGAUGACCAGGGAUAACUAUUUACUAGUGCUUUUAUGAUUUCUUGUAACUCUGUAACUUCCCCAGUAUUUGUUAAUUUUUUUGACUUCUGUUUUUCCUGUACUUAUGUGUAGUAAAAGUUUUCAAAACAUAAA
This is a long non-coding RNA of Sapajus apella (tufted capuchin), 10063 nucleotides long. RefSeq lists it as uncharacterized. The record is from RefSeq and is a predicted model, not a curated record. NCBI's taxonomy places the organism in Eukaryota, Metazoa, Chordata, Mammalia, Primates, Cebidae. The transcript has 2 exons.